This 547-nucleotide ribosomal RNA is filed under the name uncultured archaeon. RNAcentral describes it as "bacterial SSU rRNA". It matches the Rfam family "Archaeal small subunit ribosomal RNA", at positions 330 to 879 of the family's 1478-position model. The record is from RNAcentral.
GUGCAGCAGGCGCGAAACCUCCGCAAUGCGGUAACCCGUGACGGGGUCACCCCGAGUGCUCUCCGUUUGGAGAGCUUUUCCCUACUGUAAGAAGGUAGGGGUAAUAAGUGGGGGGCAAGUCUGGUGUCAGCCGCCGCGGUAAUACCAGCCCCACGAGUGGUCGGGACGGUUAUUGGGCCUAAAGCGCCCGUAGCCGGCCCAGCAAGUUCCUGCCUAAAUCCUCGGGCUCAACCCGGGGAAAGGUGGGAAUACUACUGGGCUAGGAGGCGGGAGAGGCCGGGGGUACUGCCAGGGUAGGGGCGAAAUCCUAUAAUCCUGGCAGGACCACCAGUGGCGAAGGCGCCCGGCUGGAACGCGCUCGACGGUGAGGGGCGAAAGCUGGGGGAGCAAACCGGAUUAGAUACCCGGGUAGUCCCAGCUGUAAACGAUGCGGACUAGGUGUUGGACGGACUUUGAGUCCGUCCAGUGCCGCAGGGAAGCCGUUAAGUCCGCCGCCUGGGGAGUACGGCCGCAAGGCUGAAACUUAAAGGAAUUGGCGGGGGAGCAC